This 695-nucleotide ribosomal RNA is filed under the name uncultured Providencia sp. RNAcentral describes it as "bacterial SSU rRNA". It matches the Rfam family "Bacterial small subunit ribosomal RNA", at positions 807 to 1502 of the family's 1533-position model. The record is from RNAcentral. Lineage: Bacteria; Pseudomonadati; Pseudomonadota; Gammaproteobacteria; Enterobacterales; Morganellaceae.
CGAUGUCGAUUUAGAGGUCGUUCCCUUGAGGAGUGGCUUCCGGAGCUAACGCGUUAAAUCGACCGCCUGGGGAGUACGGCCGCAAGGUUAAAACUCAAAUGAAUGACGGGGGCCCGCACAAGCGGUGGAGCAUGUGGUUUAAUUCGAUGCAACGCGAAGAACCUUACCUACUCUUGACAUCCAGAGAAUUUAGCAGAGAUGCUUUAGCGCCUUCGGGAACUCUGAGACAGGUGCUGCAUGGCUGUCGUCAGCUCGUGUUGUGAAAUGUUGGGUUAAGUCCCGCAACGAGCGCAACCCUUAUCCUUUGUUGCCAGCACAUUAUGGUGGGAACUCAAAGGAGACUGCCGGUGAUAAACCGGAGGAAGGUGGGGAUGACGUCAAGUCAUCAUGGCCCUUACGAGUAGGGCUACACACGUGCUACAAUGGCGUAUACAAAGAGAAGCGACCUCGCGAGAGCAAGCGGAACUCAUAAAGUACGUCGUAGUCCGGAUUGGAGUCUGCAACUCGACUCCAUGAAGUCGGAAUCGCUAGUAAUCGUAGAUCAGAAUGCUACGGUGAAUACGUUCCCGGGCCUUGUACACACCGCCCGUCACACCAUGGGAGUGGGUUGCAAAAGAAGUAGGUAGCUUAACCUUCGGGAGGGCGCUUACCACUUUGUGAUUCAUGACUGGGGUGAAGUCGUAACAAGGUAACCA